GACGAACGCUGGCGGCGUGCCUAAUACAUGCAAGUCGAGCGAGCUUGCCUAGAUGAUUUUAGUGCUUGCACUCAAUGAAACUAGAUACAAGCGAGCGGCGGACGGGUGAGUAACACGUGGGUAACCUGCCCAAGAGACUGGGAUAACACCUGGAAACAGAUGCUAAUACCGGAUAACAACACUAGACGCAUGUCUAGAGUUUGAAAGAUGGUUCUGCUAUCACUCUUGGAUGGACCUGCGGUGCAUUAGCUAGUUGGUAAGGUAACGGCUUACCAAGGCAAUGAUGCAUAGCCGAGUUGAGAGACUGAUCGGCCACAUUGGGACUGAGACACGGCCCAAACUCCUACGGGAGGCAGCAGUAGGGAAUCUUCCACAAUGGACGAAAGUCUGAUGGAGCAACGCCGCGGGAGUGAAGAAGGGUUUCGGCUCGUAAAGCUCUGUUGGUAGUGAAGAAAGAUAGAGGUAGUAACUGGCCUUUAUUUGACGGUAAUUACUUAGAAAGUCACGGCUAACUACGU
This 518-nucleotide ribosomal RNA is filed under the name uncultured bacterium. RNAcentral's name for it is "partial 16S ribosomal RNA". It matches the Rfam family "Bacterial small subunit ribosomal RNA", at positions 28 to 506 of the family's 1533-position model. The record is from RNAcentral.